GACGGGGCCCGCACAAGCGGUGGAGCAUGUGGUUUAAUUCGAAGCAACGCGAAGAACCUUACCAGGUCUUGACAUCCCUGACAACCCGAGAGAUCGGGCGUUCCCCUUCGGGGGACAGGGUGACAGGUGGUGCAUGGUUGUCGUCAGCUCGUGUCGUGAGAUGUUGGGUUAAGUCCCGCAACGAGCGCAACCCUCGACCUUAGUUGCCAGCAUUCAGUUGGGCACUCUAAGGUGACUGCCGGCUAAAAGUCGGAGGAAGGUGGGAUGACGUCAAAUCAUCAUGCCCCUUAUGACCUGGGCUACACACGUGCUACAAUGGGCGGUACAAAGGGCAGCCACUUAGCGAUAAGGAGCCAAUCCCGUAAAGCCGGUCUCAGUCCGGAUUGGAGUCUGCAACUCGACUCCAUGAAGUUGGAAUCGCUAGUAAUCGCAGAUCAGCACGCUGCGGUGAAUACGUUCCCGGGCCUU
Molecule: ribosomal RNA, 468 nt
Filed under: uncultured Anoxybacillus sp.
Lineage: Bacteria; Bacillati; Bacillota; Bacilli; Caryophanales; Anoxybacillaceae
Description: bacterial SSU rRNA
Rfam family: Bacterial small subunit ribosomal RNA
Source: RNAcentral